CGAUCGUGGGAGAAGAAACACACACACGCACAAAAAAAAAGGGGGCAGCGGCGACAUUAGAGGGGAUCGCCGGAGAGACGAGCGCCGGAGGGAGGAACCGGCCGGCCGCGGAGGAAGCCGGAAGCUUUUCCCUCCCUCGGUGAAGAUCCCCCACAAAUCGGGAGAAGAAGUCUCGGAUCCAUGCGUGAAAACCCAAGACCCUUCUCCGAUUUCUCGCCGGAAGGAUCGCCGGAACGCCCCGCCGGACCGAGAGGAAGAGUCGGCGGUGCCAGGAGAUUUUGAUCAGGGGACUCAGCACCCCAGCGUGUAGGUUGUGAUUCGGAUCCAUGUUUGAGUCAAUCUAUAAUCUCUAGGCACUGAAUUUGUAGAGAUCAAUGGGUGGGACGAGAAAUGAGAUCAGCAUGGAGUCUGAUUGCUGGAUAGAUAGGAGUUAAUCUAUCUUUUGUUUAUGGACAUUGAAAAAUUAUGUAAUAAAUCAGUACAUUUUGGUUGGAUUUGAUUUAAUUUCAUUAAUCAUUAAUUUUGGCAUUUAUGGAA
Molecule: non-coding RNA, 537 nt
Organism: Phoenix dactylifera (date palm)
Lineage: Eukaryota; Viridiplantae; Streptophyta; Magnoliopsida; Arecales; Arecaceae
Source: RefSeq, a predicted model, not a curated record